RNAcentral lists this long non-coding RNA (1117 nucleotides) under Lepisosteus oculatus (spotted gar). RNAcentral's name for it is "lncRNA (ENSLOCG00000021023.1)". Lineage: Eukaryota; Metazoa; Chordata; Actinopteri; Semionotiformes; Lepisosteidae. The record is from RNAcentral.
AGGAGAGUCAAAACGAAGGAAGAGCAAGACAGAUGUGCCGUGGCUGUCAUUAGUUAGCAGAGACUACCCACCUUGUGGUAACACAGUGAACUGUAACUGCCGGGUAAAGAGAGUGAGAGAGAAGGAAUGAGAAAGGGAGAGAGAGAGAGGAGAGAGAGAGGGAGGGAGUUUAAACUAAGAGCUAUGUUUUGGGACAAGCUAAUCUGCCAGAGAGCUGUGUAAGGAUCGGAGCACAUUGUGUGUGAGAGUGUGCGGGGGAAAGAUAAGGGAGCAGUCCUACGAGCCCGGCUGCUUGUUUUAAUGUGCUGACUCCGGGGAGAUAAAGAAAAAAUAUUGACUCUCCAGUUGUGUGCCGAGACCCCGGGCACAAGCUCCAGAACUGACAGAGGUGUGCAAAGGCGAAAGGGGGGGAAAAAAAAACAACACAAGAAAACAAUAAAGGAUCUUUCUUUUUAAUUUCAGUUUUUUGGUCCUUUUUUUUUGUUCCGUGGGACUGCCUCCCAUUUCUGCAAGAGAGACAAAGAGAGGGGGGGGGGACAGCAAAAAGAAAGGAAAACAAAAGCCUUGGCAACAAGAUGUUUGAGAUCAGCCGAACACUGAAUGCCGCCUUGUUGAGCAAUGAGCACAAAGACAGUCUGCCUGUGUGACAUCAGCAAUGCCAAUGAGUGGUGAGUAUGAUAUGAUAUUAGGCAUCAGAGAGUAAUUGUAUCUACAAGGGCUGAUACAGUGUCUUACCCAGGAUGCUUCCUCCUAUUAUUCCCACAUAAUUACUCAGACAAAUACAAUACUAUCAGACCAAUGCAAGAAAAUAUUCUUUAAUGAGUCAUCACUGCUUUGCUCAUUUGUGUCCAUUUUUUUAUUGUCCGCAUUAUACCCCAGAGGUGAUUUUAUCCAGCCUGUUGUUUCUAGUCUUCAUUGAUGAUUGACUGCACAAAGUUUGUUAACUUGUGACAAAACACUUUGGUUGUAGACAACAAACCUGAACUGCUACCCUGUUACUUAUGCUCUUGAAUGUGCUGAUUUGGAUAGAAUUGUUUCUAUCCUAAGCGACGAUUGUUUUUAGUUCUUUUGGGAUAGUUUUGAUUUUCACAAUGAAUUUGAAAUCAUGUGAAAGCUU